This is a long non-coding RNA of Oreochromis niloticus (Nile tilapia), 2571 nucleotides long. NCBI's taxonomy places the organism in Eukaryota, Metazoa, Chordata, Actinopteri, Cichliformes, Cichlidae. The record is from Ensembl.
GUCCGUCUGGGCUCAGUAGUGAGGAACUUGUUAACCUUGUAGUGUGCAGCGGGCACAGUGUCCACCCAUGUGCAACGACUUUGAAUUCUUAUUCGCUGCUGACUGCGGUCCGAAGAAUACUGAAUAAAUGCGCAGCAGUGUGCUACCCUGAGCAGGGAACACGAUAUCAUGGAGUUUCUAACAUGGAGCAAGGUGACGGUGAUGCUACUAUCUAGGACCGCCCCCGCUUAGCUUCAGAGAUCAGAUGAAAUCAGGCGUGGUAUGGCCGUAAGCGAGAGGCUUCCUCAAUAACAGGGUUCAUGUAGAUACUGUAACCCAUUUAUUGUGAUUUAAAAAACAAUUUAGAGUGAAGGAUAUUGAUUAGUUUCUUCCUUCCUUUUUUUUAAUACCGGCACAUGACAGCACAGUUAUAAUGCAUACUUAAUGCUGCAAAAUUCACGUCAUAAACAGUUGUGAGUGUUUGCACAAAAACAUCUACAGGUGCUCUGUGCAUGUACAGUGAUAUUGAUAUAACGCUUGAAGAAUUUGACAUUACUACAUCAGUGGAAGAGCUCUUUGCGCAAGACUCACUAAGCACCCUAUUAGAAAAUGAGCUAAAAGAGUGUCUCAGAUUCGUUUCAAUAUUUAAACUGUCAUUUGUGUGUUGAAGUGCAAAAGCUUACAGCACCUGGUAUUCCCAGGCGGUCUCCCGUCCAAGUACUGACCAGGCCCGACCCUGCUGGCUUCCGAGAUCAGACGAGAUCGGGCGCGUUCAGGGUGGUAUGGCCGUAAGCGACAGAACGCUUCAGAAACAGCCUUUUUAUACAUGCUGUGAUGACACAGUCAUGCUUACGUUUUUUAUGUUCUGUGUAGAAGUUGAAUUCUCCAAACCACGAAAAUGUUGGACUUCCAAAUCGUCCUAACACACUGUGUGCUCUCUGUCACUUUAACACUGUGCUGUGAGAAACUAACAUGUGUUAUUAUCGUGACGUUACCGCGGGAAAAGCAUUUUUGCACCUCAGUGUUGAAGCUGCAGUUAACAACAAAGGCCGGCUUUGUGGGGUCGGGGUGAUGCAGCGCCGUGUCGGGCUGCCCUCGGACCUGGAGGGGCUCGGCAGAGUUGACUCCAUCAACUGCAACGAAACAGAAUGGGAAAUUACUAGUCAAGGAAGCAUCAUCAAGCAGUUAUUAACCUUACCAUAAUGACUGUAUUGUAUGGACCACAUCUCCUCCUCAUUGGGUCAAGAUGAAUUUGCAGAAACAUAUCUGACAUGAGGCAAUUAUUAAUAACUAUGUUUCCAAAAACUUCUUAUAAAUCCUAAUUCUUUUAAUUUCCACAUAUAUUAUGUUUAUUUCAUCAUCACCUUGUCAAUGUAAUGUUACAUUCUCCAUUUGUGUAUGUGUAUAUUUCCGUUUUUUCCAUAUGUAAAUAUGGUUCUGUUAAGUGUUUAUAAGCAACCAAGUUUUUGUAAUCUGAUUAUACUGCUAUUUAUUUUUUAUACAUGCUAUUUAAAAAAAAGCAUGAUAGAGGACCCACACAUGUCUGUGCCAGUCAGGCUAGUCCUGUAAAAGCACUUACUUGUAUUUCGCCACCCUGGCUGCUGUUGUGUGGUGACGGUCCAGGGGAUGCUGCAGCUGAACUCUGGGAUUUAUCAGGAUACUAAAGGAAAACAGCACCAGUGUAAAAAUACUGAGAUGCAGUAAUACCACCAAACACUUCCGCUAUGACUGUACAUAGCUAAACAUACAGGUGAAGGGGAUCAAAACAUCACACACAAACAGGAAUACUUACAGGGUUAGCCAUGUCUUCCAGCACCUGGGCCGGCCCUGCGGGGGAGGAUGAGAAGUCUUCGGGACUCUAUUAAGGACACAUGAACUGUAAAUACCCCAAACCUUCUUAUAGUUUGUUUAUUUUUAUUUAUUUUAUUUUUCUGCACAGCUGGAAGUUAUUGCGUCUCGUACCUCUAUUGUGUACCUCGUCACGGCAUUCCUGUGUUUCACGUACCCGUCCAGCCACGACAGGGACUUCAGCAGCGGAGGGGUUCUCGCUGGUCUCGCUGGCUGGCCGCUUUUGCUGGUGAACUUUUUCUUGGCCCGAACAUACCUGUCCCGAAGUUGCUUCCACUUCUCCCGGCAUUUGUCAGGCUCUGUCUGGAGGGCGGCUGCUAUUUCUUGCCACGACUUGAUGCUAACGUGCGGGUUCUUGUAAUACUUGUGUCCAGGGUCAUAAAGGUUGUGGUGUAACGCAAUUUGUUCAGCUAACUGUUCCUCGAAACUUUCGAGCGCUGCCAUUUUUGUCAGCUUCCGUGAAGGUUUUCUCUUUCCGGGUCAACUCAGUGUUUCAACCAAUCAGCAUUCGAUCUACGUAUAGCGUCAUCAACGUCGACUACGUGCUGUUUGUUAUGAUUAUUAUUGUUAUUAUUGUUAAUAAUAAUAAUAAUAAUAAUAAUAAUAAUAAUAAUAAUAAUAAUAAUAAUAAUAAUUAAUAUAGAGAUAUAGAGAUACGAUUAAAAUGCCUAAAUAACAUAUGCAAAUUAAGAUUUUUGCAGUUGCAUCUUCACGCUAAUUUCUGCCAAAAAGGGAAACAAAUGA